GGGAGUGUAGUUCAAUGGCAGAGUACUUACCUAGCAUGUACAACACCCUGGGUUCAAGUCCUAGCACCGCCA
Molecule: transfer RNA, 72 nt
Filed under: Cavia porcellus (domestic guinea pig)
Lineage: Eukaryota; Metazoa; Chordata; Mammalia; Rodentia; Caviidae
Rfam family: tRNA
About the family: Transfer RNA (tRNA) molecules are approximately 80 nucleotides in length. Their secondary structure includes four short double-helical elements and three loops (D, anti-codon, and T loops).
Source: Rfam by way of RNAcentral